UAAACGGCCGCGGUAUAAAACCGUGCAAAGGUAGCACAAUCACUUGUCCUCUAAAUAAGGACCUGUAUGAAAGGCAUCAUGAGAGGGGACCUGUCUCCUAGGGCUAGCCAACGAAAUUGAACAGCCAGUACAAAAGCUGACAUGAGCCAGCAAGACAAAAAGACCCCGUGGAACUUUUAACAGACCAUUAAUUAAGCUUAAUAAAAGUUUUGGUUGGGACAACCUUAGAAAAACAAAACUUCUAAACCUAAUAAGACCCACAAGUCUAAUACUACACCUUGAUCCAGUCACACUGAUUAAUGAAACAAGCUACCCCGGGGAUAACAGCGCCACCUUCUAGAAGAGCCCAUAUCAACAAGAAGACCUACGACCUCGAUGUU
Molecule: ribosomal RNA, 380 nt
Filed under: Brookesia nana
Lineage: Eukaryota; Metazoa; Chordata; Lepidosauria; Squamata; Chamaeleonidae
Description: partial large subunit ribosomal RNA
Rfam family: Bacterial large subunit ribosomal RNA
Source: RNAcentral